UCCUCAUAAUUCAUCAUUCACAACUUGCCAAUUUGCAAACAAAACAACUCUUCAUUUGGUUCAGAGAAACAUAAAAACCAGAAGUCAGCAACAAUUCAUCGUCGCCGGAGAAGACAAUUACGUACAAGUUAAAAGUGCUUAAUUAAGACGUACAUAAAUAGUUGUCUAAAGAUGGAAAGAACAGCAACAUACGAGAAGGAUCUCAAUCUUGAGGCAACUGAACUAAGAUUAGGUUUGCCUGGAAUAAAUGAACCAGAGAAACAAUCUUCUUCUGCUUCUACUAGUGCUAAAUAUAGCAAGAAAAGAACAUCAUCAGAGAUGGAUAACUCAUCUAGUGGAAAGGAAAAUGAACAAGACUCAGCCCCAGCACCAAAAGCACAAGUUGUGGGCUGGCCACCAGUUAGAUCUUACAGAAAGAAUGUGUUACAAGUCAAGAAAUCCGAGUCUGAUAAUUCGUCUGGGAUGUACUUAAAAGUUAGCAUGGAUGGAGCACCUUACUUGAGGAAAAUUGACCUUAAGGUUUACAAAAGCUACCCGGAGCUACUCAAGGCUUUACAAAACAUGUUCAAGUGCACUAUUGGAGUAUACACAGAAAGAGAAGGAUACAAUGGAUCUGAAUAUGCACCAACAUAUGAAGACAAAGAUAGAGAUUGGAUGCUAGUUGGAGAUGUACCAUGGGAUAUGUUCAUUAACUCUUGCAGAAGGCUUAGAAUUAUGAAAGGAUCUGAAGCUAAAGGUUUGGCAUGCCUAUAGGUUGUGGACAUAUAGGCCUUCAAAUUAAAAUGGAAAAGGAUCCCUCAUAAGAAGCAACAGCUUAUAAUUGGGAUUUUCAAGAAACAUGGAAAUACAUACAGAUCUUGGAUGAACAAGAGAAAGACAAGGCUGAGGACUUUGAUCUGUAUGAUUUCAGUUUUGUAACAGCUAGCCCAGCAACGCCUAUACAGUUGCAUGGGAUAGAUCUAGAUCUUAGAUUGUACACAAAGUUCUCUUUUUUUCCUGUACUUUUUUCGAAGAAUCUACUUUGUAUUAUUUACGAUAGGAGUAUAUAUAUAUACAGGAAACAAAAUUUAGCAAAGAGCA
Non-coding RNA from Nicotiana tabacum (common tobacco), 1080 nucleotides. The record is from RefSeq and is a predicted model, not a curated record. Lineage: Eukaryota; Viridiplantae; Streptophyta; Magnoliopsida; Solanales; Solanaceae.